AGAUUGAACGCUGGCGGCAGGCCUAACACAUGCAAGUCGAGCGGCAGCACGGGUACUUGUACCUGGUGGCGAGCGGCGGACGGGUGAGUAAUGCCUAGGAAUCUGCCUGGUAGUGGGGGAUAACGCUCGGAAACGGACGCUAAUACCGCAUACGUCCUACGGGAGAAAGCAGGGGACCUUCGGGCCUUGCGCUAUCAGAUGAGCCUAGGUCGGAUUAGCUAGUUGGUGGGGUAAUGGCUCACCAAGGCGACGAUCCGUAACUGGUCUGAGAGGAUGAUCAGUCACACUGGAACUGAGACACGGUCCAGACUCCUACGGGAGGCAGCAGUGGGAAUAUUGGACAAUGGGCGAAAGCCUGAUCCAGCCAUGCCGCGUGUGUGAAGAAGGUCUUCGGAUUGUAAAGCACUUUAAGUUGGAGAAGGCAGUUACCUAAUACGUAUCUGUUUUGACGUUACCGACAGAAUAAGCACCGGCUAAACUCUGUGCCAGCAACG
RNAcentral lists this ribosomal RNA (494 nucleotides) under uncultured soil bacterium. RNAcentral's name for it is "bacterial SSU rRNA". It matches the Rfam family "Bacterial small subunit ribosomal RNA", at positions 26 to 516 of the family's 1533-position model. The record is from RNAcentral.